This 1443-nucleotide long non-coding RNA is filed under the name Salmo salar (Atlantic salmon). Its description in RNAcentral is "lncRNA (ENSSSAG00000109162.1)". The record is from RNAcentral. Lineage: Eukaryota; Metazoa; Chordata; Actinopteri; Salmoniformes; Salmonidae.
UCAUAAUAUUUAUUCUUACAUGUGUUUUCCACUGAAACAAACGCAGGUGACAGCAUAAUUGCAUGAUGAAAGGGGUAGAUUACCGAAGGCGUCAUUCUCUGCUGUCUACCUGGCUCCUGGUUUUGCGUUUGAUAGUGCUGCUCUAGCGCUGAGACCCCUAGAGGGCGUAGUUCUUCCUGAUGUCCUAUUACUUCUAGGUGUCGACCCAGUCAGCCCAGCCAGUAAUACACUAUCUUCCAUGGACCGGCUCAUACAUAAAACGUCCUCCAUUCAGGCUGCAAAGGCAUCAGUUUCCUUCUUAACUCGAUUUAAGAUCUCGUCGUGGGAAAAAAAAACGUGUAAAAUAUGUGCACUGUAUUAAUAAAACACAAUUUUCCAUCACCAUGCUAGGGUGGCUAAUGCUACUUCCUGAUGUUGCGGUGCGCUUACAGGAAGGGGUAAACAGACUCACUAGGGCUGUGCUUCAAACUCAUAAAAGACACACCCUCGUCCACUUACCCUCGCCUUAUGCCCUUGGGGGAAUCCCCAUCACCAUCUUGGACGUCGGUCCAAGCGAUUAGCCAAACAAGGGCCGUUCGCAACGUAAGCCCCCUAGCCCUCGUUUUUGGUCGAGUUUGCGAGCGUACAAUUAUUUUCACUUUGGGCCUGAAACGCACCAUAAUUCAAUUCGCAAUGAUUGUACAUCCGCUAAAAAAAGUCAGCCGAAACAUAAAACCUCAACAUGGAUAAGUCAACAUACAAGUAUCCUCAAAAUGUUCUACAGCUGUACCAUCGAGAGCAUCCUGACCGGUUGCAUCACCGCCUGGUAUGGCAACUGCUCUGCAGCCGACCGUAAGGCGCUACAGAGGGUAGUGCGUACGUCCCAAUACAUCACUGGGCCAAGCUUCCUGCCAUCCAGGACCUAUAUACAAGGCAGUGUCAGAGGAAGGACCAACAAAUUGUCGAAGACUCCAGUCACCCAAGUCAUAGGCUGUUUUCUCUGCUACCGCACGGCAAGAUGUACCGGAGCGCCAAGUCUAGGUCAAACAGGCUUCUAAACAGCUUCUACCCCCAAGCUAUAAAACUGCUGAACAAUUAAUCAAAUGGCCACCUGGACUAUUUACAUAUUUACAUUGACCCCCCUUUGUUUUUACACUGCUUCUACUUGUGUCACGUCCUGACCAGUAUAAGGGGUUAUUGGUUAUUGUAGUUUGGUCAGGACGUGGCAGGGGGUUUUUGUUUUAUGUGGUUCGGGGUUUGUUGGGAUAUGUUCUUAUGUAGAGGGGUGUUUGUUUUAUGUGUUUCGGGGUUUUUGGGUAUUGCUCUAUGUUUUGUAUUUCUAUGGUUUUUCUAUGUUGUGUAUUUCUUUGUUGGCCUGGUAUGGCUCUCAAUCAGGAACAGCUGUACAUCGUUGUUGCUGAUUGGGAGUCAUACUUAGGUAGCCCUUUUUUCACCUGUCUUUUG